UCCUAAGCGUAGUAAUUUCUCCUCGCUAUAGAGCCCGCUCGGGGAUAGGUAUAAUUCGUAGCCUAGUUCUAUGUGUCCCGCUAUAAAACCCCCAAUUUUUUAAGGUUGACCUCGGAUCAAGUAGGGAUACCCGCUGAACUUAAGCAUAUCAAUAAGCGGAGGAAAAGAAACCAACAGGGAUUACCUUAGUAACGGCGAGUGAAGCGGUAAAUGCUCAAAUUUGAAAGCUGCCAACAGGCCGCGUUGUAAUUUGUAGAAGAUGCUUUGGGUGUCGGCCCAGUCUAAGUUCCUUGGAACAGGACGUCAUAGAGGGUGAGAAUCCCGUAUGUGAUUGGUGCCGUCCCCCGUGUAAAGCUCUUUCGACGAGUCGAGUUGUUUGGGAAUGCAGCUCAAAAUGGGUGGUAAAUUUCAUCUAAAGCUAAAUAUUGGCCAGAGACCGAUAGCGCACAAGUAGAGUGAUCGAAAGAUGAAAAGCACUUUGGAAAGAGAGUUAAACAGUACGUGAAAUUGUUGAAAGGGAAGCGCUUGCAAUCAGACUUGCAGGCGGUCGAUCAUCCGAGGUUCUCCCCGGUGCACUCGAUCGUCUUCAGGCCAGCAUCGGUUUCCGUGGUGGGAUAAAGGCUGUGAGAACGUGGCUCUUCGGAGUGUUAUAGCUCACGGUGCAAUGCCGCCUACGGGG
This 679-nucleotide small RNA is filed under the name Helotiales sp. 1 MK-2015. RNAcentral's name for it is "eukaryotic LSU rRNA". The stretch from base 107 to 679 matches the Rfam family "Eukaryotic large subunit ribosomal RNA", at positions 1 to 583 of the family's 3401-position model. The record is from RNAcentral. Lineage: Eukaryota; Fungi; Ascomycota; Leotiomycetes; Helotiales.